Molecule: ribosomal RNA, 253 nt
Filed under: uncultured bacterium
Lineage: Bacteria
Description: partial 16S ribosomal RNA
Rfam family: Bacterial small subunit ribosomal RNA
Source: RNAcentral
UACGAAGGGGGCUAGCGUUGCUCGGAAUCACUGGGCGUAAAGGGUGCGUAGGCGGGUCUUUAAGUCAGGGGUGAAAUCCUGGAGCUCAACUCCAGAACUGCCUUUGAUACUGAGGAUCUUGAGUUCGGGAGAGGUGAGUGGAACUGCGAGUGUAGAGGUGAAAUUCGUAGAUAUUCGCAAGAACACCAGUGGCGUAGGCGGCUCACUGGCCCGUUACUGACGCUGAGGCGCGAAAGCGUGGGGAGCAAACAGG